UACGGAGGGGGCUAGCGUUGUUCGGAAUUACUGGGCGUAAAGCGCACGUAGGCGGCGAUCCAAGUCAGAGGUGAAAGCCCGGGGCUCAACCCCGGAACUGCCUUUGAAACUAGAUUGCUAGAAUCCUGGAGAGGUGAGUGGAAUUCCGAGUGUAGAGGUGAAAUUCGUAGAUAUUCGGAAGAACACCAGUGGCGAAGGCGACUCACUGGACAGGUAUUGACGCUGAGGUGCGAAAGCGUGGGGAGCAAACGGG
Molecule: ribosomal RNA, 253 nt
Filed under: uncultured bacterium
Lineage: Bacteria
Description: partial 16S ribosomal RNA
Rfam family: Bacterial small subunit ribosomal RNA
Source: RNAcentral